ACGCACGCUGGCGGCGUGCUUCACCCCUGCAAGUCGCACGGAAAGGCCCUGCUUUUGUGGGGUGCUCGAGUGGCGAACGGGUGAGUAACACGUGAGUAACCUGCCCUUGACUUUGGGAUAACUUCAGGAAACUGGGGCUAAUACCGGAUAGGAGCUCCUGCUGCAUGGUGGGGGUUGGAAAGUUUCGGCGGUUGGGGAUGGACUCGCGGCUUAUCAGCUUGUUGGUGGGGUAGUGGCUUACCAAGGCUUUGACGGGUAGCCGGGCUGAGAGGGUGACCGGGCACAAUUGGGCCGGGGUACCGGCCCCGCCCCCUCCGGGGGGAAGGGGUGGGGAUUUUUCAACAAGGGGCGGAAGCCGGAUGCAGCAACCCGGGGGGGGGGAUGCGGGCCUUCGGGUUUUAACCCGCUUUCGCCUUUGACGAGGCGGGGGGGACGGGAAUGGGUAAAGAAGCCCCGGCUAACUACGG
Molecule: ribosomal RNA, 467 nt
Filed under: uncultured bacterium
Lineage: Bacteria
Description: partial 16S ribosomal RNA
Rfam family: Bacterial small subunit ribosomal RNA
Source: RNAcentral